UGAAUGCGACUCGGGUCGCUUCCUUCCAAUCCAUAAGAGAAGAGGAAGUGCUGAAUCUCGUCGAAACCAUAAAAUCAAAUGAAGGAUCGGCUGUAAAUCUGAGCCGCAAAGUCUUUUCACUGAGUUAUGGCAUAACAGCGAGGGCAGCCUUUGGCAAGAAAUGCAAAGAUCAAGAAGCCUUCAUAUCAGUUGUUACAGAGGAAACCAAGGUGAAUUCUAGUUUCUUUGUUUCCGAACUUUUUCCUUCACUUAAAUUUCUGGAUACUGUUUUGGGUCAAAAGCAUAAAGUUGAAAAGAUUCAUGGAGAAGCUGACAUGAUACUUGGGAAUAUUGUUAACGAUCACAAAGAAAGUAGAGCAAAAGGCAGAAGUAAAGAUGAAAACAAGGAAAAUCUGGUAGAUGUUCUUUUAAGGAUUCAGGAGGAUGGUGAAUUUCCCUUGACUGACAACAACGUCAAAGCCGUCAUCUUAGUGAGUCCAUUUUCUUUUAUUACAUUGACCUGGAUUUUGGUAGUUGUUCACAAAUUUUAAUGGCCAUGAUGUUAUUUAUUAUGUUGUUUUAGGACAUUUUCAGUGCCGGAAGUGAGACAUCAGCAGGAGCUGUAGAGUGGGCAUUGUCGUAAAUGAUUAAAAACCCAAGAGUUAUGACAAAAGCACAAGCAGAGGUAAGGCAGGUAUUCCAAGGCAAAGGAAAUGUAGAUGAAACAGGCAUUCAUCAACUUAAAUAUCUCAAGUGGGUUAUAAAAGAAACCUUAAGACUGCACCCUGUUAUACCUUUAUUGAUUCCAAGAGAAAGUAUGAAGAAUUGUGUGGUUAAUGGAUUUGAAAUACCUGCAAAGACCAGAGUCAUUGUGAAUGCAUGGGCAAUCGGGAGAGAUCCUAAUCAUUGGGUUGAGCCUGAAAAGUUUGAGCCUGAAAGGUUUGUCAACAGUUCAGUUGAUUUCAUAGGGACAAAUUUCGAGUUCAUCCCAUUUGGGGCAGGAAGGAGGGUAUGUCCAGGCAUAUUAUUUGCUCUGCCAACUGUAGAGCUACCGCUUGCUCAACUGUUGUUCCAUUUUGAUUGGAAGCUACCAAGGGGAAUGAAGCAGGAAGAUAUAGACAUGACUGAGGUGUUUGGUGUAUCUGUGAGAAGGAAAAACGAUCUUGUCGUAGUUCCAAGUCUUUACCGUGCUUCCACUACUGUUGCCUAGAGGCAGGAACAACCUUAGCUUAUACUGCAUUAUUCUAUUAGGUUGGGAUUGAAUCUCAAGCUUGUUUGUUUGCUUAUAUAUGUAUUGUUAUUUAGCCUAAUAGCCCACCACUUUAUAUUUGUAUUUAUAGCCGACGCUAUCAGUGUUCAUGCUUCUUGUGCAUGGUAAAUGUAACUGUAAGGGCCAAUUUCGUCCGGCUAUCAGAGGCGGCGGUCUCUGUUACCAAUGACCGACGGUCAAGGUGAAGCCCCACCGCCCCUAUGACCGACCUGGGGAUAAUGAGAGAAAAGAAAAAAGGAAGGAAGUUAAAAAAAAAAAAGAACAGAGCACAAAUUUUUUUUUUCAAAUUUUUUAAACUUAAAUAGGGUGUGUGACACGACGCCGUUUUGACUUGGUCUCAGAAGUCCCAAAAAGACGUCAUUUUGAUGUAACCCGACGACUCGACCCGAAUCCCCUCAGGAUCUGCGAGCUUUUUUUAGGAUGAGAUAAUUUCUGCCUAGGUCCUUCCACUUUUAGGCACUUUUAAUAUUGUCUUGGAUUUGAUUUUUUUCUUUUUAAAUUCCACCAUUUAAUUUAAUUUUUUUUAUUUUUUGUCCUCUUACCGUUGACCCUUUGGGGAGUGACACGUGUAUAGAUGAUUAGGAUAAUUGUCCUUUUAAUCCCUACAUUUUAAUUUAUUUUAAUUUAUCCUUUUUUUGUUUUUCUUGUCAUUUAUACUUUCAGUUUCAUUUAGUCUCAAUUUACUCUUUUAUUUAUUUAAUUCACCCCCUUUAUUUUCUGCUUUUUAAUUUUCAACACUUUUAAUUUAUGAAUAUUUACAUUUUUGCCCCUUUAAACUAUGCAAUUUUUAUUUUCAUCCUUGAGCGGUUAUAUUUUUAAAUUUUUGACAUUAAAUAUGGUGUUAAUUAUGUCAUGGUUAUAAUUACUAUUAUUACUAUCAUGUUAUUAUUAUCGUCAUUGACUAUUUUACCCUCAUUACUAUUACUACAAUCAUUUUAUUCUUUUAUUAUAAUACUAUUUCAUUUGUAUCUAUGUAGCUAUUUUAUUUUAUUGUAUAUUAUGCUUACAUGCACUUGUUUAUUUUGUACCACGUUCAAAUAAGUUAAUCGCAUGUAGAUGUAGCAUCAAUUUUCGUGCAAUGCAUAAGUAGUCUUUAAAAUCGAGGCAAUGUUUUUAACAAGGGGACACGAGAAAUUGUGCCCCUAACUCACUAGGUAGACAUUUUCCUCAAACCAAUGUAAUUGAACAUCCUUAUUAAGAUCAAAAUUUAUAAGGUUUCAAUAAUAAUUAGACGACAAAUACUCUUUAUUCUCGAGGAUUCAUGAUGUUGUGCCCCUAACUUAUGGGACACGACUCUUAUUCUUAGUUGACUCGAAAUAUAAGAGGUUGCAUUUUAAAUUCUUCUCAAAUUCUCAAUUUUCGACACUAAGACAUCAAGUAAUCAACUAGGUACCAAUUUUGGGCAUUAUGAGGGUGCUAAUCUUUCCUCAUACGUAAUCGACUCCCGAACCUACUUCUUGGAUUUUGUAGACCGAAAAUCACAAUUUUAGUAAUUUUACUAUUUUAUUAAAAUGAUUAAAUUUCGAGAUGAUCCAAUCACAGCUUGAUAAAAAAGCAUUGGUGGCGACUCUGUCUUCGUUUUAAAAUAAAGGUUUCGACAAUAACAUUAUUAUUUCUAGAUUUGUUUAAUGUUGGUAGCAGUAUUUGUGUUGUGCUCGUAUUUUCCUUUUAUAUUUGUUAUUCUGUGAAAGCAGAAGGAGGGUUGGUGGAGGGAGUUUAUUUUUGUGGAUCAUUGAAUAGCAGAAAGAAUUUGAUGAUUUUAUUCAUUUCAAUACAUACAGGGGGUUAAUUCGUGUUUCUAACAGUUCUAUGUUAAUCGCUUGGUCUUUCCUUCUCUCCGUUACCACCCUAUAGUUUCUUUCCCCUUUUUUGCCUUUAACGUGCUUAAGUCGUGGAAUUGAAUAAAAGAAUUGUAGAUCAGAAUUGAGUACUGAAAUAUGAAGUCAGCUGCUAAUUUUUUUAAAUAGGUUAUUAUCAUAUAUGUUCCUUUUUUGUAUAAUGUUUGGGCGCUUUUGAAUCCAUGUCCUCCUACACUAGUAUUAAUGCCUAAAUCAAUCGAAUUAAGACUUUUUUAUUUUGGGAUAAUAAGUGAUAAUAUCACAAAUUCAAAAAUUUUAAAUUUAAUGUGAUUUAAAUAAUAUUUAAAUUUGAAUAUUUUUGUUGAGACAGAUUUUAAGUAGUGGCUGGACCAAUGUCAACUGAUUGGUACUAUUUACUUAGAAAACUUGCCAUCUUUAAAUUAACAAAUUUUAACACUAUAACUCUUGUGGAUACUUUGGAUGACUGUUAGUCCAUCCUUAAUAUCUAAAUGACAGAUAGCAACAUAUCUUAGAGAUUGAUUUGAAUUUGGAUAAACGGAAUCAACUUCUCAAGUUUAAUGGAUCAGAUCGAAUUAGGUAGAACUUGAAAGCAUAUACUGAAGAUUGAAGACUUAUCUUGAGCCAUUUUGAAGGUUUUACUUAUGCAUAUUAUCAUGCUAGUUUCAAGGAAAGAUUGAUUGUAAUUGAUAUGGUAUACUAGCAUGUCUAAAUUACUUAUAUAUUGUUGAGACUUGUAUAAGUUGUACGCUAAAUUAAGAGCACUUUAUUUUGUUCAUUUUUCAAGGGGGGAAAUUUAGAGGUUAAAAUCACUUGUUGUACAAUGUGUUAACAUAGUGAAUAUUUUUGCCUUGGUUCUUUUUCUGUGCUUGAAGCAGUUGAAACUAAUCUUAAUAAUGCUUGUUUUUUCCCUACAAAUAUCAAUUUUGGACCCAACAAAGUGAGACCGAUUGCGAGUAAAGGAGGUUCCUGAUGAGUGAAUGUUGGAGUUAACAAAAACAUAAAGAUGAUGGGUGAAUGUUAGUGAUUUAGCAACAUGACUCGACAGAGGCAAUUGUGUUAGUUAGCUGGCUUGUUAUAAUUAAUUUGAGUUUAUUAUAUUUGAUGUAAAAAGAGCUUAAAUCAAUGUAUCGAUUUUUAUCUAUUGUUCAAAGUUCUUCUACUGAGUUCUAAGUUUCAUUUUGUGCUUGUAUAUAUAUGUUAUCUUUGCCUCUUUACAUUAAUCACACUCAAAAUUUAUUCUCUUUUCACUAUUUUAGUCUUUUCUUUUAUCUUUCCGUUGCUUUCACUCAACCAAUCACAUUCUUAGCGUGAUUAGAUUGUGGAAUUCAAUAGAGGCAAAAAGCGAAAGAGUUGUAUUAGAAUUACUGAAAAUAUAGAGAGAGUUUGACAUUAAAAUUCUAAUAUGAGAUCUCUAAGUUUAUCAAGUUUAAGUGAUAUAUACUUAAGAACAUUAGAAAAACUGUAGGGUUGUAUAUGCAAAUAACCGAAAGAAAUUAGAAGCCUUAGCUAAAUCAUAUUUAAGUAACAUGCAUGUUUUGGAUGUAUUUUAACACGCAAAUUACGUAUACAUGAUUCAAACACCAAAGCAUCAUUUAUAUGUUAUAUAAAAUAAGCUUAUGCCUUAUCUUCAAUUUUAUAUUGCCACAAAUCCCAUCUUUCCAUUCACCACGAAUCCCAUCAUCAUGCAUGUUUUGGAUGUAUUUCAACAUCUGUUCUAUGCUCUCUUGGUGGCUUAGGAAAAAGGGAGAUUCAAUCCUCUAUGAUUAAGGUGGGCAGGUGCUGGUAAAACUUCAUAUGUGCAUUUCCACAUGAAAAUUUUAGCUUUGGAGGCAGCUUGUUUUUCCUUUUCUUAUCUGCAUGUUGAACAUGUUGGGUUAAUGUGCUUCUUCCUGUUACCAAUUUCAUAAACACUUGUUACUGUCAACGCUCCGAAUUAUGUUAUAAUAUGUUUAUUUUUUUUAAAUUAAACCAAAUUUAUAUUAUAAAAUUUUAUAAAUUUAAAUCUUCUAUUGUGUAGGAGAGUGCCUCUUAUUUUGAUCAAACAGUACACCUCGUCCCAGUGAGCAACAAGGCUUCGCCCCGAUGACAUAUCAAGCCACGUCACGACGUGUAGUCCAAAUUUUUCGACUUUUUUUCUCCCAUUUAAACUUUGUUUUAGUAUCCCACUUAAAUUUUGAUUAUACUAGCAUUCUUGUAGUCAUAUAUGCUACGAAUUUCAACCUAUUUAGUUAGUUCAGGUUUUACAACAACAGAAAUAUUUAGAUUAAGAGAAUUUUGUUCUUUGUUUCGAAGGAUUUUUCUUGCGGAGCUUUGGGUUUUCUUUUAAUUCUCUCCAUCUUUUAUACUCUCCUUUUGCCUAUAGUUCUUUAUCCUUAUUUGAGGAGUUUUUUCACGUUAAAUUUUGCGUGUUCGAUCUUUUCAAUUCUAUUUAAUUUACUUGUUCGUUGCAUACAGAGGUUAAUUUUCAAUAUAUUGAAAUAAGUGAAAACUAAUUUUUUACCCUGUUCAUCACACUAGUAUUGUAUAUUUAAUUAUUUCUUAAAAUUUUCAUAAAUUUUAUAACGUUUCACUAAAAUUAUGGUUAUGAAAUUAAGACAUAAUAAUAUAUAAGUUUAAUUAAAAACAUGAUAAUUGAUAUUAGAUUGAAUUUGAAUAAAUAAUAUUUUAAAAUAUAAUUUUAUAUAUAAUUUCUAACUUAAUUUUAAUGGUUAAUUAUUGAAUGUAGAUUGUGAUUACUGAUGAAUUUAUUGCAACACUAUUUAUAUUUUUAAAUAUCUAUUUCAAUCUUAAUAGUGUAUUUAACUGCUGCAAUUAAAACUCAUUCUGCCUAUCCAACCGCAAUUCUAUGCCCAUAUGCAACUUUAAUUGCAUUAAUUAAUGAAAUUUAAUUAUAAUAAAACCCAUUCUGCAAUUUUAUGCCUAUAUGCAACAAUUUUUAUUGUAUAGGCCAACGAUGACAUUUUUUUUUACUUAGGACGACGUAAAAAAAGUUGGCAUAGAUUAUCUCGACAAUUCUCCCGACGAUUCUAAAAACAUCGUUGUUAGCACUAUUGGUAUAGGUACCGCAACGCUUUGGAAAAAGCGUUGGCAUAAUUUAACAUAGGUCGACCUUUAUUGAAAGGUCGGCAAAGAUCUAAUCAAGGCCGACUUUUAAAAAAGAUUGGGAUAGGAGGAAAUAGGUGACCCAAAAAAGGUCAGAAUAAAGCAUUCAUAUACCUACUUUUAAAGAGUUGGGAUAGACCACUCUAUGCCAACCUUAAAAAGGUUGGGAUUGACUCAUCUAAGGCAACUUUAAACAGGUUGGGAUAGACCUUACCUGGGCCAACACCUUACAUAGUUGGUUCAGGUCCCAUGUUUUUUACGACUUUUUUUCCCGACUUUUGAAGAGCCUAUUUUGGUGAAAUAUAAGCAAAUUUGUAUGUGUUGAGUUUGAAUAAGUUUGAGACGAUAUUAAUUGAAUAGUUAACUAACAUAAAUUAAUCAUAUUAAUACAAAAUUACCACUGAAUAAUGAACUUAGUAGUUUAUGUACAAAAUCCUAAUAGAAGCAGCCAACACGUUGACAACAUGGUAUUAGUUUGUUGUCCAUUAGAUCACUUGGUAAUUACAUUCAGUAAAUGUGUUGCCAACAUGUUGUCUACCUGUUUCCAAUGACAUCAAAAAAUUCUGGGACAAUUGCAUUCAUCAACUACUAUAACAUAUAUAUAUAUAUAUACAUACAUACAUAAUAUGCAGCAGCCCUCGUUCAUCAUCAUCCGAACUAAAUGCCUCAUCAUCAGGCCUUCUAGUUUAAAAUUCAACUACGUUAACAAGUGCAAAAAUAACAUAAUAUCAAGUUUAAAAAUGAUAUCGUUCCCCCCUAUAUGGACCUAGAAAACCUGCCAUUUAAGGAUAUCCUGAAUCCACAAGAUAAUAUUUUCCUACAAAAAAGUAAAAUUUAAUAUCAAGUUUAAAAAUAAAUUAAAAAUUUUAAUAUUUUUUAUGUAAAAAGUAAUUAAAAAAUUAAAGUUCAACCUGGUGGAGAGUGUGGAAACUUCAACUCUUGCUUUCUAAAUGCUUGCAAAAAAAUUCUACUAUCAUGUGUUGUUCCUUCCCAACCAAGAAAUGCAAAAAUAAAGCACAUGUUGAAAUCACAAACUGCCAUAAUAUUUUGAGUUGGUUCCCAUUUCCUUCCGAUAUAAGGUAUUUGGCAAGAAGGCGAAAUGCAUGCUUUUAUGUGUGUUCCAUCUAUGGCCCCAAUACAAUCCUUUAAAAUAAAUACAAGUAAUGAGAUAAAAGUUAGAAAUAAUUUAUGUUUUAAAAAUAUAAAGAUUGUGUAAAUUUUACCUUAAAGUGAGGCCAAUAUCUUGUAUCAUGUCGAAUAUGGUUCGGUACUUCCUCGAAUUGACCUUCAAUGGGUUUAAUCGUGUCUAGUCCUAUUCGAGCAAAUAUAUGCAACAUAUCAGUAAAAAUUCGACUAACAGUUUCCCCAGAUCGUUGAAAUCGCUCUGUUGCAUUUGAAUUUGAUUCUCUAUUUCCAAGAAUGUACAAUGAUAAUGCUAACUUCUCCAUCACCGAUACUUUCCCAUUCUUUAAGCCAUUAUUUGUUUGCAAAUCAUGCAACAAGCUGUGAAAUAUAUUUUUUGGCAUCCUAAAACUAAUCAUGCAACGAUCAUCGUGCCCAUUUAAUACUUCGUCCACCCACAUUUGACAUGUAUAAUUUAAAUCCAUACGCGGUUGCGUAGUGAAAUAAGUUUCAUGGUGUACCAAUACACUGCUUAACACAUAUUCUUCUACUUCAUGAUAAUUGGUGUGCUUAACUUGGGUAACAAUUGUGGCUAUUCUUCGUUGAGCUUCUUCACUUAAUUCAGAGGUAUCAUAAUUGUUGUGCUCAACUUGGGUAACCUUUGAUUGCCUUGUGUUACUUUUCAUGCCAAUUUAUUUGUGUUUUCCCCAUGGAUUUCUUAUAAUUUUAAUGCCUUUUGCAUUGUAUUUAGUCAAACAUUUAUUAUUUGCUUUCUUCAUUUUGAUCAAACUUUCACAGUUUUGGUUGGUUUCUUGUUUGUUUCAACAUGAUUGAAUUGAAGUUAUUUGUAAAUGGAGAAUAUUUUUACAUUUGAUAUUUAUUAGAUUAAGAUGGAUGUUGGUAACUGCUUUGAUUACUCACCCCUUUUAGUGUUUGCUUGUGAGAUCGUAUGGUUGGUUGUAGCAUCAAAAUGUGGAAACUUCCUCUAUAUCCAUGUUUCUCUAUUACCUUCUAUUCUAUAUUUGACAUGAUUGAAGCUUUUCUUUUCUUGACUGCCAUUUUUUGUAUUUGUUAUAGAAUUUGUUGACACCAUUUUUUUGAUUGAAAAACGGGGUCGACUUGGAUUUUGAAAAUAAAACGAAAUUAGGAGUCGCCACCAAUAUUUUUUGAUGAGGUGUGAUCGGUCACCUCGUAAAAUGGUUGUUUUUGAUAAACAAUUUGAUUUUAUUAAAACAACGAGUUUGGUCUACGAAAUCCAAAAACAGGUUCGGGAGUCGGUUACGCACGAGGAAGGGUUAGCACCCUCGAUACGCCCAAAAUUGGUACCUAGUUGAUUUCUUAAUGUCUUGGUGUCGAAAAUUAAAAACUCAAAAAGAAUUUAAAAUACGAUCUCUCCUUAUAUUGUUAUUUUAAAAUUACUCAAAUAAAUCAAAAUGGAAAAUGCUUCCUUAUCUCGAAGUAACAAGAUGUCACGUCCAGUAAGUUAGGAUACAACACAUCGUAUUUUCGAGAGUAAGCUUGCCUUUAUUUUUUGUUUAAACCUCAUUUAUUUUAAUUUCAAAAGGAUGUUCGGUUAUUUAGGAUCAACGCGAGAAGAAUCGAAGCUCAGUAAGUUAGGGCACGAUUUUCUCGAAUUUUCUAAAUACGAAAUAUUGCCUUAAUUUGAAAGUUUAAAAAGGAUAUUUGGCUAUUUGGUCGAACGAGAAAUCGAAACCCAGCACGUUAAGGCACGUUUUCUCGAAUUUUCCAAACGCGAAAUAUUGCCUUAAUUAAAAAAAUUUUCUUUUUGAUGUAUGGUGUUAAUAUGCAUAGCAAAACAAUAAUGAAUAUGAUGGCAUAAAAACAACACGAGUAAUAGCAACGGAAAUAAGAUUAUUAAAUAUAAAUAAUAAUGAAAAUGAAGAUAAAUAAAUAAAUAACGAAUAGAUGUAAAGAACGUAUAUACAUGAAUGUACACAAAAUUAUGAAAAUAUGAAAAAUCUAUGUACGUAUACGUAUUGUGAGAUUAUUAAAUAUAAAAAUAUAUGUAUACAUGUAUACAUGUAUAGGUAUAUGAAUUAAAAUAUGUAAAUAGAUAAGUAUAUAUAUAUGCAUGUAGAAAAUAUGAAAUAUAAAAAAUAUAUUUAAAAUAAAUAGAGAAUAUGUACGUGUAUAUAUAUAUAAAUUAUAAGAUAUAGUAAGAAUGUAUAUGAGUAUAUAUAUACAUAUAUAUAUUAGAGAAAAAUGUGUACGUGUAUAUAUUUAUGAAAAUGAAAAUAUGUAUAUAAAUAUAUAGGUAUGUACAUAAGUUGUAAAAUAUAUAAAAAUAUAUAAGUAUAUAUAUGUACCGAAAUUUUAAAUAUAAAUAUAAAUAAAUAGAUAACAAUAUAAUAGUAAUGUAAUAUAAUAGUAAUAAUAAUAUUAAAAUAACUAUUUAAUGAUAUAAUAACUAAAAUAACAAAUAAGGGAUUAAAUUGAAACUAAACUAAAAUUGGGGGCGAAUCGCAAACAAUAAAAUGAUUUGGGGCCGAAAUAUGAGAUAUUUAAAGGCUAGGGGACUGAAAUGAGACGUGCGCAAAGUACGGAGGACUGAUCGGGAAAUAAGCCCAAGUCCUGAAGCGUCGCAUUUAUGCGCGGACUAAAUUGGAGCAGACGAAAAAAAUAUGCGGCCAAAAUUAAAAGAAUUGAAAGGCUACAUGGAACGUGUCGCAGAGCUAGAGGGACCAAAAGCGCAAAUAAACCAUUAGGGCAAAGUGCGCAGGUCUCCCCUUUAAACGGCGCCGUUUUCAUCACUAUAAAAGCAAAAAUUUUUACUCCCUCUGCCGUUUCACUCUCUUUCAAAGAAAAUUGAAAAAAUAAAAGGGAGGCUUCCCCUUUUCUGUUCGGGUUCCAGGCCCAGCCACCGUCGUGCCUUCCCUUGCCUGGUGGCCGGAGCCAUGCAAGGGCGCUUUCAGGCCGCGCGUUGCAGCGCACUCAGAGAUCGAGGCCAAGGAACGGGGGGAAACGAGGGGAAAAAAGAAAAGCUUCGGGCCUCUCCUUAAACUCGCGUCUGACGACGGCGAAGAGCCGACGACGACGACGGCUUCAGUGGGCCGAUUCAGGUGGUUUUCUUCCCCUUUUCCCUUUUUUCUUUUUAUUAAUAAUAAGGAAGUAUUCAAAAAAAUGAAAAAAUAGAUAAAUAAUAAAUAAAAUAAAUCGAAAGAGGAAGCAAUUUGUUAUUUUAUUUCAAGUGUGUUUUUUUAAUCGGAAGAAGAAGUUACAAUGGUGAGAUUUUCGGUUUUUAUAACCGAUUACAACUGUUUAUUUUCUAUUUGUUUAUUUCUGCUUGGCUUCUUGCAGGUGGUCGUGGCCAACAAUGGUGGCAGAGGAGUGCGAGUGGGCGUGGCAGACGAGGAGGUGGAGCGGCACACAUGCGGCGCUUGGAGGCUAGGGUUUCCUUUGAUAGCUAAAUUUUUUUUUAAGUUUUGUGGGUUAGGGUUUUCCUAAUUUUGGGCCAGAUUUUGGGCUUGGGAUUUUAUUUUGGAUUUUAUUAUUUCGGUUAUUUUGUUGGUAUGGGCCCGGGCAAAAAUGGGCUUUUACAGCUGCCCCUCUUUGCUCAUUUUCGUGUAACGAGAAUAGAGCAAAGACAUCAAAAGGGCCAAUUUUGCCCGGUCUUGCCGAGUCUUGACUUUUUGGUGCUCAUCUUCUUCAAGUAGCCUUAUUCCAGCCUGCUACGUCUUGUUGCUUCGAUCCACUCUACUGCAACUUCAGAUACGCCUUGUAGCUUCAAUCUACUCUGCUACGACUCCAUGGGGAUGAGAUUUGUGUUUUUAGUCUGCUCCACUACUAUUUAGGGAGAUAAGACUGGAUGUGAUCUACUCCACUACUACUUAGGGAGAUAAGAUCUGUGGUUUCGUCUACUCCGCUACUGCUUAGGGAGAUAAGACUUGAUGCGAUCUGCUCCACUACUGCUUAGGGAGAUAAGAUCUGUGGUUUCGUCCGCUCCGCUACUGCUUAGGGAGAUAAGACUUGAUGCGAUCUGCUCCACUAUUGCUUAGGGAGAUAAGAUCUGUGGUUUUGUCUGCUCCACUACUGCUUAGGGAGAUAAGACUUGAUGCGAUCUGCUCCACUAUUACUUAGGGAGAUAAGAUCUGUGGUUUUGUCCGCUUCGCUACUGCUUAGGGAGAUAAGACUUAAUGCGAUCUGCUCCACUACUGCUUAGAGAGAUAAGAUCUAUGGUUUUGUCUGCUCCACUACUGCUUAGGGAGAUAAGACUGGAUGCGAUCUGCUCCACUACUGCUUAGGGAGAUAAGACUGUAAUCUUCGAUCUAUUCCACUAUUUCCCAGGGAAGUAAGAUUAUUGGCUUCAAUGUACUCCACUGUAAUCUCAGGGAGGUAAAAUCCGUCAUAUUCGAUCUGCUUCUCUGCCAAAUACAGGAAGGCAAGAUCUGUAAUCUUCAAUCUAUUCCACUGCCAAAUACAGGGAGAUAGAGUUAUCGGCUUCAAUGUACUCCACUGUAGUCAGGGAGGUAAAAUCUGCCAUCAUCAAUCUGCUUCUUUACCAAAUACAGGAAGGCAAGAUCUGCAAUCUUCAAUCUAUUCCACUGCCAACCAGGGAGAUAGAGUUAUCGGCUUCAAUGUACUCCACUGUAGUCACAGGGAGGUAAAAUCUGUCAUCUUCGAUCUACUCCACUACUGCUUAGGGAGAUAAGAUCUGUAAUCUUCAAUCUAUUCCACUGCUGUCUAGGGAGACAGAGUUAUCGGCUUCAAUGUACUCCACUGUAGUCAGGGAGGUAAAAUCUGCCAUCUUCGAUCUGCUUCUCUGCCAAAUACAGGAAGGCAAGAUCUGCAAUCUUCAAUCUAUUCCACUGCCAAAUACAGGGAGAUAGAGUUAUCGGCUUCAAUGUACUCCACUGUAGUCAGGGAGGUAAAAUCUGCCAUCUUCGAUCUGCUUCGUUGCCAAAUACAGGAAGGCAAGAUCUGCAAUCUUCAAUCUACUUCCUACCAAUAUAGGAAGACAGGACCUGCUAUCUUCGAUCUACUUCACGCCAAUACAAGAAGACAAGUUUUGCUUUCUUCGAUCCACUCCCUACCAAUAUAGGGAGACAGGACCUGUUAUCUUCGAUCUACUUCACGCCAAUACAUGAAGACAAGAUCUGCAUCUUGGAUCCACUUCCUAUCAAUAUAGGAAGACAGGACCAGCCAUCUUCGAUCUACUUCACGCCAAUACAUGAAGAUAAGAUCUUCUUUCUUUGAUCUACUUCACUACCAGUAUGGGAAGACAAGAUCUGCAUCUUCGAUCCACUUCCUACCAAUAUAGGAAGACAGGACCUGCUAUUUUUGAUCUACUUCACGCCAAUACAUGAAGACAAGAUCUGCUUUCUUUUAUGACUUCAAUCCAUCCCACUGCAACUUCAGAGGUAUAGGAUCUGUUUCUUUGAUCUGUUCUCUGGGGAACAUGACCUGUAAAAUCCAUUUUAUGGACCUAUUUAUGCCUAGUGUUUAGGAUGACAUGAUCAGAAUAAAUCAAAUGCUCCUAACUAGAUGUGUAUGAAUGAUUUUUGCAUGAAUGUAGAAUGUCAUGAGAAUGAUCCUUUUUUUAAUGUUUGGGUUAUCGUUCCUCUUUGUUUGUCAAGGUUCUAUCACUGAUGUUUUCCAGUUCAGCAAGUAUCUUUGACAGAAGAUUCAAAGAAAUGGUCUCAAUUUAGACUAUCCUUUCUCAAAUGUUUCCAACCCUUAGGUUUGGUUAGUUCUAAACAAUAAUCAUGUUUCAGGUCCUUGUAUUAUUUAGAAACUUUCAGAGUAAUAUGCAGAACUUCUUCUGCAUGAGUAUUGUCAGUCCAUUAAUCGUUAUUUCAAUGAAAAAUGCUUGAAAAAGAUUAUCAAAAUGGACAAAAUGAAAUUUUGUUGAGAGCAAAGCUCUAAACAAACAAAUCAAUCAAGAUAGCAUUUUUUGCUGAGAUACGAGAUGAAUAAGAUGAAAAAGAUUAUCACAAUGGAUAAGAUGGAAAUUUGUUAAGAGUAAAGCUCUAAAUGAACAAAUUAAUCAAGAUAGCAAAUUUGCUAGAAUACAAAAUGAGAAUACAUUAAUCAAGGUGGCGUAUUUUGUCAAAAAUACAAAAAAUGAAUGAAAUGGAAAUAGGUGCCCCAGAUAUCAUAGCAUGAGUUUCUCUGCCCCAAACAUUUUGAAGACCCUUUUGAACUUGAUAUGUGUCUAGAAGACCAAGAAGACUUUGUUGAUGCCCUAAGAUGUAGCAUCUCUCCUUCUUAUUAAUUCAGAAAGGGCAAGACUACCGCAUGCCCCACCUUUGAUCAAAAUUUGAACUGCCCAUUCCUGGGUUUUCAAUUCAAAACCCUUUGGUCUCAAGGCGCCCUUUGCGGGUUUUCACCUUGGCCUCUCCUUUUUUCUUUUUUCAUUCUUCCUUUCUUUUUUCUUUUUUCUCAAGUGAAGUGUUCAUCACGUGAAUCAAAAUUCUCAAGAUUAGGCAGGUUCUUGCCAUCCAUCUCGGUCAAUAUCGACGUUUUUCAGAUAAGGCCUUCCUCAUAAGGUCCUUUCCAGUUUGACAUACACUUUCCUAUGAAGUCCUUUUGCAUGGGAAGGAUCUUCCUCGAUAUUAGGUCCCCUCAUGGAAUUCUCUAGGGCGAACCUUUUUUUGGUGAGCUCGCAUCAUUUACUUUUGGUACAUUUGACCAUGACGGAUAGCUUUUAACCUUUUCUCUUCAAUUAUAUCAGACUUGGAUCCAUUCUGCUUCAUCUAACUUCAAUUCUGACAAGACUCGAAGGGAAGAAAUAUCACCUUCGAUGGGUAAGACUGUCUCUAUUCCAUAUACCAAUGAGAACUGAGUUGCCCCAGUAGAGGUCUUUUCUUUUAUUUUUGGUUUUUUUUUUUGCUUUUUAUUUUCUAGUUUUUUUUCUUUUUAUUUUUGCUCUUUUUUUUUUUGCCUCCACUGAACUGUUCAUUUUGAGGCGACAUGAUGUCAAUCUUGAACAGACUGCAAACUUCUGAUGUCGUGCGGUUGUUCAAAUUCAAUGCAUAGUCUAAUAUGAUCAUUUUUGGCAUUCCAUAUUGACAUAUGAUUCUUCAAGAAAUUUUCUGAUUGUCAGCUUUGUGAUAUUGGCAUAUGAAACAACCUUUACCCACUUUAUGAAGUAACCGACGACCACAAAGAUGAAUCGAUAACCGCCAGAAGCUUUUGGCGAGAUUAGCUCAAUGACCUCCAUGCCCCCACAUAGAGAAAGGUCAUGGAAAAGUCAUAACAUGAAUAGAUAGAGGCAUAUGAAUUUUGUCCCCAUAAAUUUGGCACUUAUGGCAUUUCUUGGUAUGACUGACGCAAUCCCGUUCCAUGGUGGACCAGCAGUACCUAAAUCUUAUGAUUUACUUGGCCAUUUCAAAAUCAAUGCAUGUGUUCCUUAGACACCCUUAUGGACAUUUUCUAAUAGUUUUUAGCCUCAACAGCAUUCACAUGUCUUGGUAGCUCAGGCAUAUCUUGAUCAUACGAAAACAUCUUUGAAUUCUCAAAGUAACUCAAUGACGUCUCGCUUUAUCUCUAGGGUGAUACAGGCUCUGAUUUUCACCUUUUUCUCCUCUCCUAAGCUUACAAUUUCCCACUGAUUUUUUUUGUAAGGUAAGAUCUAUUUUUCGACUUCCUCUACCAUCCUUAACAAAUCAGGAGAUAAGCUACAGUCUCGAUCAUCUUCGAAGUUUUGAGGUUCCUCUAGACAUGUAUCUUGUUCAAAAGGAGAUUCUGAGUCAAUAGCAGUAUCGCUCAUAUCAUUGAUAUUUGGAGACCUAUUUUAGGGACGUAGGAAGACUCAAAUAGCUUAAUGAAUCAAAGGAUAAUUAUCUGUAUGGUAUGAGUAGGAAUGAAAUGGGAGGAACAAGAGAAUGUUUGCCAAAACAAGACACAAAGAUGCAUUUCGUUGAAAUAAAGAAUAGUGGACAUGUGCCUUUUUCACAAAAGAAUUUUCUAUUUCUUCCAGGCUUAGAGCAAUAAGAGCGUUCCAAAUAUUACUCUGAAAUGGUUUUAAAAAAUUACAAGAAUCUCCUCUACAGUCCAGUUGUUUAGAACACCUCUAGGGAUGUAGAAACAAAUCCCUGAUAGGUUUUUUAAUUCCUUCUUCAAAGGCACAAACAUCUUUACUUUCCAAGCCAUCGAUAUAUUCAAAGAAUUUCAAUUCUAUAUCAUCCAUCUGGUUUUGUACUAGAGUUCUAAACUCGACGUACUUUUGGAUUUUAGGAAAUUUAUUAUAUAAAAUGAAAUGUAAUGUUGAUGCAUGAAUGCGUAUUUUUGAAUUUUAGGAAAUUUAUUAUAUGCAAUGAAAUGUAAUGUUGAUGCAUGAAUGUGUAUUUUUGGAUUUUAGGAAAUUUAUUGCAUGCAAUGUAAUGUUGAUGCAUGAAUGCAAAAAAGAGACGUUGAUUCUUGGUUCAAUUCUAUUAGAACAACUUUACUAGAAAACAAAUCUCUUUACAUAAAAUGGAUAUAUAUACGGUUCUGCCCUCAUAGGCGGAGACAUUCGAUCCUCUUCUUCAUUUGAGCGUUAAGAUAAAUCUCACGAACUCUUCAAAAGGGACGUAUCUUCUAUCUCCUUUUUACUCAAUCCGGGCCGUGACUCGUUGCUCACUCAACCUCGUGGUGCUCGUUGGCUUCUCUUUUAAGAAAGUUCAGCGGCUCUCGAAUAAUCCUUGUCACCUUGAAUUCUCGAGCCACGGAGCAAUGGUUGUGUAGUUCUCCAUUAAACUAUCAUCCUUCUCUUAUCACGUUUUCUUAGACCAUAUUCGGACAACCGUAUUAUUAUCCACUUUAUCAAGAAACCCAUUUCCUUAUGACAAGCUCUCUAUUUAACAACCGAACGUGAAUCAACACCUCUUUUUAUGAUGAAAAUGCAAUGCAAUCAUAACAAAAAGAAAACAGGUUAGUACAAAGCAAAAGCAACCAAGAAUAAAUAGAACACCUAUUUGGGUGAAUAUUAGGGGUUCGAAGUGGUUCUACCUAGGGUGGGCUCCUAAGGUUCACUACAUGAGGUUUGGUUCUAAAGUAAGGGUACCCGAACCAGCAGAUUCCUCGAUCCUCACCCAUUAUAGGCUCAUGCGGACCGAGUUCGGUUCAGGGGGAUACAUUUCUCUAUGGCCAUGCGGAGAUGAAAAUCUCACAAAGACAUAGGUACGGAUGUAUCCCGGAAGCGAUUCACUAUCCCAUGCGGAGGUGAAAACCUCACGAAGGCGUAGUUUCUCACUCCCACUUAAAAGGUGUGACCAACGGUCAUGCAAUGGAAUGUGCAGAAAUAUACACCUAAACUCCAAACAAAGCAGUAAUUAUAUACAAAUAAUAAAAGCCAAAAUAAAGGCAAAUGAAAUAUAAUAAAAGGACCUUAUCUUUAAAUCAAGUUUUCAAUUUUUUGACACAAAGACAAAAAGUAAUCAACUCGUGGCUUGACUUUCUUAUUUUACGUUCCCAGCGGAGUCGCCAAGCUGUUGACACCAUUUUUUUGAUUGAAAAACGGGGUCGACUUGGAUUUUGAAAAUAAAACGAAAUUGGGAGUCGCCACCAAUCUUUUUUGAUGAGGUGUGAUCGGGUCACCUCAUAAAAUGGUUGUUUUUGAUAAACAAUUUGAUUUUAUUAAAACAACGAGUUUGGUCUACGAAAUCCAAAAACAGGUUCGGGAGUCGGUUACGCACGAGGAAGGGUUAGCACCCUCGAUACGCCCAAAAUUGGUACCUAGUUGAUUUCUUAAUGUCUUGGUGUCGAAAAUUAAAAACUCAAAAAGAAUUUAAAAUACGAUCUCUCCUUAUAUUGUUAUUUUAAAAUUACUCAAAUAAAUCAAAAUGGAAAAUGCUUCCUUAUCUCGAAGUAACAAGAUGUCACGUCCAGUAAGUUAGGAUACAACACAUCGUAUUUUCGAGAGUAAGCUUGCCUUUAUUUUUUGUUUAAACCUCAUUUAUUUUAAUUUCAAAAGGAUGUUCGGUUAUUUAGGAUCAACGCGAGAAGAAUCGAAGCUCAAUAAGUUAGGGCACGAUUUUCUCGAAUUUUCUAAAUACGAAAUAUUGCCUUAUUUUGAAAGUUUAAAAAGGAUAUUUGGCUAUUUGGUCGAACGAAAAAUCGAAACCCAGCACGUUAGGGCACGUUUUCUCGAAUUUUCCAAACGCGAAAUAUUUCCUUAAUUAAAAAAAAUUUCUUUUUGAUGUAUGGUGUUAAUAUGCAUAGCAAAACAAUAAUGAAUAUGAUGGCAUAAAAACAACACGAGUAAUAGCAACGGAAAUAAAAUUAUUAAAUACUAAUGAAAAUGAAGAUAAAUAAAUAAAUAACGAAUAGAUGUAAAGAACGUAUAUACAUAAAUGUACACAAAAUUAUGAAAAUAUGAAAAAUCUAUGUAUGUAUACGUAUUGUGAGAUUAUUAAAUAUAAAAAUAUAUGUAAAUAUGUAUACAUGUAUAGGUAUAUGAAUUAAAAUAUGUAAAUAGAUAAGUAUAUAUAUAUGCAUGUAGAAAAUAUGAAAUAUAAAAAAUAUAUUUAAAAUAAAUAGAGAAUAUGUACGUGUAUAUAUAUAUAAAUUAUAAGAUAUAGUAAGAAAUGUAUAUGAGUAUAUAUAUACAUAUAUAUAUUAGAGAAAAAUGUGUACGUGUAUAUAUUUAUGAAAAUGAAAAUAUGUAUAAAAAUAUAUAGGUAUGUACAUAAGUUGUAAAAUAUAUAAAAAUAUAUAAGUAUAUAUAUGUACCGAAAUUUUAAAUAUAAAUAUAAAUAAAUAGAUAACAAUAAUAAUAGUAAUGUAAUAUAAUAGUAAUAAUAAUAUUAAAUAACUAAUUUAAUGAUAAAAUAACUAAAAUAACAAAUAAGGGAUUAAAUUGAAAACUAAACUAAAAUUUGGGGGCGAAUCGCAAACAAAUAAAAUGAUUUGGGGCCGAAAUAUGAGAUAUUUAAAGGCUAGGGGACUGAAAUGAGACGCGCGCAAAGUACGGAGGACUGAUCGGGAAAUAUGCCCAAGUCCUGAAGCGUCGCAUUUAUGCGCGGACUAAAUUGGAGCAGACGAAAAAAAUAUGCGGCCAAAAUUAAAAGAAUUGAAAAGCUACAUGGAACGUGUCGCAGAGCUAGAGGGACCAAAAGCGCAAAUAAACCAUUAGGGCAAAGUGCGCAGGUCUCCCCUUUAAACGGCGUCGUUUUCAUCACUAUAAAAGCAAAAAUUUUUACUCCCGUUUCACUCUCUUUCAAAGAAAAUUGAAAAAAUAAAAGGGAGGCUUCCCCUUUUCUGUUCGGGUUCCAGGCCCAGCCGCCGUCGUGCCUUCCCUUGCCUGGUGGCCGGAGCCAUGCAAGGGCGCCUUCAGGCCGCGCGUUGCAGCGCACUCAGAGAUCGAGGCCAAGGAACGGGGGGAAACGAGGGGAAAAAAGAAAAGCUUCGGGACUCUCCUUAAACUCGCGUCUGACGACGGCGAAGAGCCGACGACGACGACGGCUUCAGUGGGCCGAUUCAGGUGGUUUUCUUCCCCUUUUCCCUUUUUUCUUUUUAUUAAUAAUAAGGAAGUAUUCAAAAAAAUGAAAAAAUAGAUAAAUAAUGAAUAAAAUAGAUCGAAAGAGGAAGCAAUUUGUUAUUUUAUUUCAAGUGUGUUUGUUUUUUUUAAUCGGAAGAAGAAGUUACAAUGGUGAGAUUUUCGGUUUUUAUAACCGAUUACAACUGUUUAUUUUCUAUUUGUUUAUUUCUGCUUGGCUUCUUGCAGGUGGUCGUGGCUGACAAUGGUGGCAGAGGCGUGCGAGUGGGCGUGGCAAACGAGGAGGUGGAGUGGCACACAUGCGGCGCUUGGAGGCUAGGGUUUCCUUUGAUAGCUGAAAUUUUUUUUUAAGUUUUGUGGGUUAGGGUUUUCCUAAUUUUGGGCCAGAUUUUGGGCUUGGGAUUUUAUUUUGGAUUUUAUUAUUUGGGUUAUUUUGUUGGUAUGGGCCCGGGCAAAAAUGGGCUCUUACAGAAUUGAUGAAUGAAGGAGGGACAAAACUAGGAGAAUGUACUCUUUCUACUAAGGUGAUAUUGUGAUUGUAAUAUAUGGCAGCAGUGCCUAAACAGACAAGUAUGGCUAUAAAGUCUUACAAAAAUCAGGCUCCGAUGUUGGUUAAGAAUUACUUAUUAGCUGAUCCUUUCGCUCCUUAUACUUCCAUCCGCGGUGGCAUUCUUGCUUGCAAAGUGGUAUGCUGAAUCUUUCCCCUUGUAAAUAUGUUUUAACUUUUUAAUUCAGGAUCAUUGAAUCCUAUGGCAGGAUGUUUCCUUAUACCCUUUAAUGAAUCUUGCAGGAAUGAAUUUUACAUAUUUUAAAUUAACUCAUAUAUGUUAUGAUGUUUUUAUAUAAUUCUGUUUACAUGUUCCCUCAUCCCUCAGGGUUAGAGCAGAUGACAAGCCUGAAGAAGGCAAUGCAAACUCUGAUGUUAAAGCACCAUCUGGAGGCAAAGGACCUACUGAGGCUGUCGAUAAGUUAUCAGAACAUAUGAGGAGGUCUUUCAGAAUUGAGGCAGUAGGAUUGUCGAGUUUGUGGUUUUGCUUUGGAUCAGGUGUCUUAGCUCGCUUUGUUGUGGAGUGGGAAUCGGGUAAAGAAGGUUGCACAAUGCAUGUGUCUCCUUAUCAACUUUGGCCUCAUACCAAGGUUCGGUUUUUUUUCUUGUUUUGUUUUUUCCUCUUUCUUUUAAAAUAAUUUCCUCAAUUCUUUUCUCAUACCAUUUUACCAUGAUUUUAUGUUCCUUAGUAUCAGUUGUUAGCCACUUUUUUUCUUCAACAUUUCUUUUCUUAUGUCAUAUUAAAAAUUUCAUGGAUUAAGAUGCUAUGUUGGCUCAUUUUGCUGCUUGGCAUGGUAUCAUUUAUUUCCUGAAUUUUUUAGAAUUACUUGUGCCAUGGUGGUUACUUCUAUGCUCGGGUAAAAUCUUUUAUACCUUUGUUAGCUUUUGUUUUUUUUUUUAAAGAUUUGAGGAUUCUUAUCACAUAUAGGUCAAUUUUUUCAUCCUUUUUCUUUUUAUGCUUUACUUCAUUCUAGUAUUUCAGCAAACUCAUAGAUUUUACAUGUUCUAUAAUUUUUGUUAACAUCAUUAGAAAAUCUGAAAUGCAUCACUGCAAUUGUUAAGGUGUAUUCUGUUAAUAUGUUUUAUUAUUUCUGUCUCGAUGCUUAAGACCUGGUAAGUUGAAGUUAUCCCUAUUCCUUAUUUUCUGGCAGAUUUAUUAAUGGAAAUUAUAGGUUGUAAUGACUUUUUGGAGUCCUUUUACUUGAUUUAUUUUCCAUUCUGUCUUUCUAAAGGACUUAAUAAUGCAGGUACUUUCAGCUUUUGGAUUUGUGCAUAAGAUUACUACCUUUGAGAAGACAGUUGGAUUUCAGGUCAAUAAAUUAAAUCUCCUUCUUCCUAGAUUGAUUGGUUUGCAAUUUUUAUCAUUUAUAGCUUGUUUGCAGUUUUUGAUCUGUUUAAUUACUUGACUAGUGUUCUUUGUUUAUAUAUAGUCAGGGAUGUAUCUAUUGAAUGGGGACUGAUGCUAUUGAAGUAGGGGAGACUCCAUUUGACUCCUAUCCUAGUUCCUUUGAGGUACUAUUUUCGAGUUCCUUUCACUUUUUUUCUAUUCUAACUUUGAAUCUACUGUAUAAUUUGAUCGUUAUCGGGAAUAAUUACAUGCAUUUGUUUGUGUUUUUUCUUUGCAUAAGCAAGUGUUAAAAGCCUUAGAAAUUCGGUUUGUGCCCUGCAAGCUUUAAGUUAUAAUGUUUUUGAGUUUAGAUGUUUAGGUAAUUUCAUUGUGUAUGACUUAAAAUUAUAGCUAGUAAUAAUAUUACUAAAUAGUGUGUAAAGCAUGCUAAAUUAUAGGUCCAAAGAUCAAAAGAUAAAAUGUUGCUGCCUAUGGGAUAAGGUCAGUAUAUAGGUCCGAAAAUUUAUUUUUUGCGAAUAACUAUUUCUAUCAGUUUCUAUUUGACUGAAAGUGAUUAAAUCGUUUCUAGUUAUGUGUUUGAUUCGUAUUGUUUAAGUCCAUAUUCAAAGAAAUUCGAAGUACGAGGAUAGUAGUUGAAAGCUGGGAAUGAUACAAAUCCAUAUCAUGCAAAACAGAGAGUAAUUUUCGGAGAAGUUAAAAAUUUAAAUAAAAAUCCAUAAACUUUAAAAAAUUGAACCAGAAAAGUGAGAGUCCAGCUAUCGUUGUCGGCUAUUAAUUCUUAUCUUAUUCAUAAAUAAUUAUUAAAUUGUAUUAGUAGCCGAGAAAAGUCAAGUAAAGUUUGAGGUUCAUUAAGAAAAGAAAAGAAAAAUCACUUCUUUCAAUUUCUUUCUUUGGAAACUAGGCUUCUUUAAGCUAUUACCAAUAAUGGAGUUCCAGAUACCCUUAUUCCAGCUCCUCAUCAGCUUCCUCCUGUUUUUGUUUAUGGUAAUCACAAGUGUAAGGAAAUCAAAAGCUAAGAAUUUAACUCAAAAGUUGAUUCCAGGGCCUUGGAAAUUACCAUUGAUAGGAAAUCUGCACCAGCUCGCCGCUUCUGGUCUACCCCAUCGCACCUUACGUGACUUGGCUACGAAACAUGGUGACUUCAUGCAUCUGCAACUGGGUCAAGUUUCCACCGUGGUCGCUUCUUCUCCAGAAAUGGCUAAAGAGAUUAUGAAAACACAUGAUAUCGUCUUUGCUAAUAGGCCUUUUCUCGUUGUGGCCAAGAUGACAACUUAUGAGUGCACUGAUAUUGUCUUUGCACCAUAUGGAACCUAUUGGAGAAAUCUGCGGAAAAUUUGCACAUCGGAGCUUCUGAGUGCAGCUCGGGUCGCUUCCUUCCGAUCCAUAAGAGAAGAGGAAGUGUUGAAUCUUGUCGAAACUAUAAAAUCAAAUGGAGGGUUGGCUGUGAAUCUGACCGAGAAAGUUUAUCCAAUGAGUUAUACAAUAACAGCGAGGGCAACCUUUGGCAAGAAAUGCAAAGAUCAAGAAGCUUUCAUAUCAGUUGUUGCUGAGGAAAGCAAGGUGAACUCGGGUUUCUUUGUUUCCGAAUUUUUUCCUUCACUUAAAUUCUUGGAUGUUGUUUCUGGUCUAAAGCAUAGAGUUGAAA
Molecule: long non-coding RNA, 22270 nt
Filed under: Gossypium barbadense (sea-island cotton)
Lineage: Eukaryota; Viridiplantae; Streptophyta; Magnoliopsida; Malvales; Malvaceae
Description: long non-coding RNA (GBAR_LNC016603)
Source: RNAcentral